GGGGCAAGUGGUUUAAUUUAAGCCAACGCGAAGACUUACUACCCUUGACAUACAGCGACUUGGCAGAGAUGCCUUGGUGCCUUCGGGAACGCUGAUACAGGUGCUGCAUGGCCGUCGUCAGCUCGUGUCGUGAGAUGUUGGGUUAAGUCCCGCAACGAGCGCAACCCUUGUCCUUUUUUGCCAGCCGGUGAUGCCGGGAACUCAAAGGAAACGGCCGGGGAUAAACCGGAGGAAGGGGGGGACAACGUCAAGUCAUCAGGGCCCUUACGGGCAGGGCUACACACGUGCUACAAUGGCGCGUACAAAGGGCUGCAAACUCGCGAGAGUAACCGAAUCCCAAAAAGCGCGUCGUAGUCCGGAUCGAAGUCUGCAACUCGACUCCGUGAAGUCGGAAUCGCUAGUAAUGUGAAUCAAAAUGCCACGGUGAAGUUUUCCCCCGGGACCA
Molecule: ribosomal RNA, 445 nt
Filed under: Oceanimonas baumannii
Lineage: Bacteria; Pseudomonadati; Pseudomonadota; Gammaproteobacteria; Aeromonadales; Aeromonadaceae
Description: bacterial SSU rRNA
Rfam family: Bacterial small subunit ribosomal RNA
Source: RNAcentral